This 244-nucleotide long non-coding RNA is filed under the name Lathyrus oleraceus (garden pea). RNAcentral's name for it is "Pisum sativum (pea) long non-coding RNA (PSAT_LNC007672)". The record is from RNAcentral. Lineage: Eukaryota; Viridiplantae; Streptophyta; Magnoliopsida; Fabales; Fabaceae.
AUGUUGUGUGGGCGUAAUUGAAAAUUGAGAAUGUGUUGUUGCUUUUUUAAGUUUAUUGAGGAUAAAUAUGAAUGUUGUGUAUGGAGUAUUUUGUACUCCGAUGAAUAUUUUGUAUGCUACGAGUUUCUAAAAUUUGUUUGCAUGCAUUUUCUUAAAUUUGUUAGCAUGAAUUUUGUUAAACAUGUUUGCAUUUUGGAAUACUAAUGUUAAAACAUGACAUAGUUUUGUCGACAUCCACACUCCU